CGCCCUUCUCUCGCGCUUGAGGCAAAGCUCUCCGAUCAACUUGCAGAAGAGAUCAACCAAAAAUAUUCGCAUCUUGUCUGGACGAUGAAGGAUGACAUCCGGGAGGACUUCUCGGGCCUUCCGGUUGAGCGGAUCACGCACUUUCUUGAAAAAAUCACGAUCCCGAUCGUGCCGGUGAGCCUUUGCGCGAACUCAUUCAACGGCUACGACCCGAACCUGGCCGAGCGCCUCAGCCCCAAUCAAAAGCGAAAUUUCUCCCUUCUCUCUGAGAAGUCCAAGCUAAUUGGUGUUCGCGGAAAUUAUUCCGCCGAGAUCCUGAAUAGCCUUGGCAUAAAGAACGUCAGAGUGAUUGGCUGCCCGAGCUAUUUCGAGAACGGACCCACCCGGGCUCUGCAAAAAAAGCCGUGGGAUGCGGACAAGGUCAUCACUACGGCCACAUUCUUCAAUUCCGGGCUGCCGAGGACAUCCCAUCUGCUGCAGGAUGAAUUGUAUUUCAUCAACUUGCUCUAUCUUGAAAAAGCGCUGCCAUCGACCCGCAACAUCACAGCGCAACCCUUCAAUCUCGACGAAAUACCCACGUCCUUCCAACUAUUGGCCAAGGCCAUGGCUGGACGGCUGGAAUUUUUCUCUGAUUACAGCCGAUGGGCCACGUUCUUCAAAAGCAACGACCAUUGCCUCGCGACUUCGCAACCCAUA
RNAcentral lists this unclassified non-coding RNA (696 nucleotides) under Xanthomonas phaseoli pv. dieffenbachiae. RNAcentral describes it as "partial 16S-23S ribosomal RNA intergenic spacer". The record is from RNAcentral. Lineage: Bacteria; Pseudomonadati; Pseudomonadota; Gammaproteobacteria; Lysobacterales; Lysobacteraceae.